CUAUAGGUUCAUUUAAAAAGCAUAUCUUGUAUCGAUUAUAACAAUAUCUAUUUUGUUACAGAUGGCGAUGAAGGCUCGAGUCGAGUAUUUCACAGGAUCGCGUCCAACAACCGGAAAUACUAUCAUUUGCUUCGAAGUUCCAGUUCAAAUUGUGAAAGCGGAAGACAAGGAAGUAUAAGAUUCACAGUCCUAAGCAAAUUUCUGAAAACAUCAGUGAAUUUAUAUUAUUCAUAAAACUUAUGUUUUUUUGUUUAUCCUGUUUGUCCUGUAAAAUUGUUGCAUGUCUUAUGUAAAACAUACAAUUUUUUUUAGUACUUUAAACGCAAUGAAAUCGAUUUUAUUUUAAAUAGUUUGUCUUUUAUUAAAUUCUUUGAUAGUUUUC
Stegodyphus dumicola is the source of this 382-nucleotide long non-coding RNA. NCBI's taxonomy places the organism in Eukaryota, Metazoa, Arthropoda, Arachnida, Araneae, Eresidae. The record is from RefSeq and is a predicted model, not a curated record.